UGGGGAAUAUUGCACAAUGGGGGGAACCCUGAUGCAGCAACGCCGCGUGAGUGAAGAAGUAAUUCGUUACGUAAAGCUCUAUCAGCAGGGAAGAAAAAAAGUCCUUACGGACUUAGGACGGUACCUGAAUAAGAAGCCCCGGCUAACUACGUGCCAGCAGCCGCGGUAAUACGUAGGGGGCAAGCGUUAUCCGGAUUUACUGGGUGUAAAGGGAGCGUAGACGGCGGAGCAAGUCUGAAGUGAAAUGCUAGGGCUUAACCCUAGAACUGCUUUGGAAACUGCAUAGCUAGAGUGCAGGAGAGGUAAGCGGAAUUCCUAGUGUAGCGGUGAAAUGCGUAGAUAUUAGGAGGAACACCGGUGGCGAAGGCGGCUUACUGGACUGUAACUGACGUUGAGGCUCGAAAGCGUGGGGAGCAAACAGG
This 422-nucleotide ribosomal RNA is filed under the name uncultured bacterium. RNAcentral describes it as "bacterial SSU rRNA". It matches the Rfam family "Bacterial small subunit ribosomal RNA", at positions 355 to 776 of the family's 1533-position model. The record is from RNAcentral.